RNAcentral lists this long non-coding RNA (569 nucleotides) under Gallus gallus (chicken). Lineage: Eukaryota; Metazoa; Chordata; Aves; Galliformes; Phasianidae. The record is from RNAcentral.
UAAAAAAGCAAGAAGCCCCUCGGCACCUACAACAAAAGCCGCUCGGAGGGCCGAGGAGCUGCACGAGCCGCGGGCACGCCGUUAGCUGUGAGGGGCGCGGAGGGCCUCGCCCCCCCCCCCCCCCCCCAGCCCGCCUCGCGCCCAACUGUCACGCGCGAGCCGCGCUCUGGGCGCCCCACAGCCGCUGCGACCUCCGCGGUGCGAGGCCGGGGGUUGCGCCCACUCACCCAGAAGAUGACAUUGAAGCCGAAGAUGAAAUAUUUGAUGCAACAACUGACUUCGGGCCCCUUGUAGUGCUUCCCGGACAUCCUCUGCGCUCAUGAAGACACUUUGCUCGCGGCCAGGAUGAAAACCGAAGAGGGUAGUCCUGCUUGCUCUGUGUAUUGUAUCAGUCUGCAGUCCUCAGGGAAGUUGAUGUUUUUCCACCCAGAAGUAUUAACUUCUUAGAAGAAACUGACUAGAUCAGCCGAAAAACAAGAUCCAGCUGGAAGCACUUAUUCCUUUGAAAGCCAACUUUAUAAGAAAGAGCUACAGCAGCUACCUCAAACACCUGUAAAGUGGGUUGCUUC